GAUGAACGCUGGCGGCGUGCCUAAUACAUGCAAGUCGAGCGAACGGACGAGAAGCUUGCUCCUCUGAUGUUAGCGGCGGACGGGUGAGUAACACGUGGAUAACCUACCUAUAAGACUGGGAUAACUUCGGGAAACCGGAGCUAAUACCGGAUAAUAUAUUGAACCGCAUGGUUCAAUAGUGAAAGACGGUUUUGCUGUCACUUAUAGAUGGAUCCGCGCUGCAUUAGCUAGUUGGUAAGGUAACGGCUUACCAAGGCAACGAUGCGUAGCCGACCUGAGAGGGUGAUCGGCCACACUGGAACUGAGACACGGUCCAGACUCCUACCGGAGGCAGCAGUAGGGAAUCUUCCGCAAUGGGCGAAAGCCUGACGGAGCAACGCCGCGUGAGUGAUGAAGGUCUUCGGAUCGUAAAACUCUGUUAUUAGGGAAGAACAAAUGUGUAAGUAACUAUGCACGUCUUGACGGUACCUAAUCAGAAAGCCACGGCUAACUACGUG
This 497-nucleotide ribosomal RNA is filed under the name uncultured bacterium. RNAcentral describes it as "partial 16S ribosomal RNA". It matches the Rfam family "Bacterial small subunit ribosomal RNA", at positions 28 to 507 of the family's 1533-position model. The record is from RNAcentral.